CAUCGUGCAGUACCAAUCCGUAAGGCGAAAAUGGAAUAUUAUACAUUGUUUUAAACUACCCUUUCGUAUCGUGGAUAUCCUACAGGUUUGUUCGGAUAAACUUCCCAUUGAGGAUUCAGGCUGAUUCUCUCUUGCCAAUUUUACUGGAUUAUUAGUGAUUGAUGUGGGACCAGAACUACAAAUAUAUUUGAUGUUUCAGGGCAGUUGAAGAGUGUAUGCUCCGGAUCAUCGUUCGGGUCAUCACAGAAGCAACACUUCGGCGACCUCUCUUUACCUAUUUUAUU
Non-coding RNA from Osmia lignaria (orchard mason bee), 284 nucleotides. The record is from RefSeq and is a predicted model, not a curated record. NCBI's taxonomy places the organism in Eukaryota, Metazoa, Arthropoda, Insecta, Hymenoptera, Megachilidae.